AGUAAAUAAGAGUUUUAAACAUAAUUAUAAAAGCGAUCUGGUUGUGUUUAAAAUCCCCUAAUUCUCUAUUGUUGAUGUUUAAUGCCUUGUAUGAAUGAUCUUAUCACUAUAUACCCACGGUGAAUUAACAACUGAUCCCUCACGAAAUAACUCAUUAACCACUACUCAUAGGUUUCUAUCCCUAGUCCGCUAGCAUAAGCUAGGUCUGGCGAUGCACAAAACAUUAGUUUCCCUAUGCCACUUCUCAGGGUCUCUUAUUCCUAUUCAACAAGUGUAAGUAAAAUAAUUACUAUAGGCCUAACACAUAGACUAAUGGUCAGUAUUUCCUAUGUGUCCACAAUCAAUUUAAAAGAGUAUCUCACAUAAAAAUCAUUAAUAACAAUAAGCAAUUGAAUGGAAUUAUAGAUCAAAAGGUUCAUACAAAGUCAAAUCAACAUAUUACCCAACAGUAUUGAAAAAGGUUCAUCCCACACAACCUAACCUAGAGGAGCUUAGCUACUCAUAAUUCAAAUUACAAUACCAUAAUUGAUAGAUGAAAGUAGCAUAUGAAUUCCCUUGAAGUAAUGGCCUCGAAUGGCUUCAAAUUCCCUAAAAAUCUCCUUUGAUCCUCUCCAAAUCGUGCUUUGCUCUCCAAUUUUUGUAACCCUUAUCAAAGUGUAAAAUUUCCCCUUAAAAGGAGCUCAUAAUGUAUCAGACGCGUCAAAAAAAGCCCAAAAAAGGGACCAUCGCGCGCGUGAUGACUUUAAUCAUGCGUGUGAUGUAGCUUUUAUGGCCCUAUCACGCGCGCGAUGGUGCAUGUGAUUUUUCCCGAAGUUGUACUUUUUUGCUCCUUUUUCACCAAACUUUUCACUAAGACCAUAAUCUUCACACUUAACUAUUUUUCCUCAUCCUUUGGUCUUUCUUAUUCAUUUUAGAUAAUCUUUCACUUGUUUUGAUCCAAUUCUUCAACUAAAUUCAUGCAAUGACAGACUGUCAUCACAACCUCAAACUUGAAUCGUUGCUUGUCCUCAAGUAACUCACCUACAAUUGCAUAUUUCAAUAGAAAAAAAUCAUCACAAUAAUAAUUAAACAUUAAAAUAUUAAAUAUUUCUUUUACCUGACCAUCAUUCUAGCUUCCAACUUCUAUCCGACGAAUUCGAAAAACAUCCUCAACAUUGAUGAGUACUCAACUUGUCUCUCAAAUCACUUUGACUCACUUAAUGGAUAUGGUUAUCUCUCAAUCAACAUGCCAAAUUAAUUAUGCUUAGCUUGAUCAUGUUCUAAUAUAGUUCAUCACAAAAAUCACAACGCACACAUUAUAUGUCUUUUUAGGUUGUAACUUGGCUUAUGUUUGGGUAUGAUAUUUUGGAAAAGUAGGUUUAAACCUUUAGAGUUAGGUGCCUAGUUCUCCUUCUAUCAUCAUACCUCUUUAUUCCUUUUGUUGGUACUAGAGAUUUUUGGUCCUUCUUCUACUUUCAUUAUUUUUCUUUUCUCCUUUUUUUUUGAAGAAGUGUCUUUUUCCGCUUCUGUUUUUCCUCAUAACUUUUGAAAAUUUGAAAUUUUGGCCAAUACUCUCUAGUACCCCAACCCCAAACUUAAAACUUAGUUCACUUCCAAGAGCAACCCCAAACUUAAUAUUUUUUAUACACUUGAGGAACUAUACUUCUACCUAACUCUAAAGAGAGGGUGAAAAAAAAGAUCUUUCAAGUCAUAUGGCUAAGAAUUUUAGGCUACGUCACAAAAAGAAAGGAUAAAUCUCAAAGUAAUUAGCAAUGGAUAUACUUAUUACUACAUGGUGGUUUAAAAAUUCUCAAAGUUAUAAAAAAAACUGCCUUAGUGUGUGUCAGUCAAACCAGAUGAACUUAAUCAGAAAUAGAUCAAACUAGAUAAAGUAAUAAUGCAUGGAUACACUCAUAAAGAAAGAAAAGUAAAUAAUGGAAUUUAUUUGGCUCAAAUCUUACUAGAUUUGGUAUCUGUAUGCUGAGUAUAAGUCCGUUGAUUCUUUUCUCAUCCUUUACCUUCAAGUUGCUAGUUUCUAUUGUGAUGAUCAAGUUUAUUUUGGAUCAUCUGUUCAAUGCUAAAGUGUUAAACUUGCAAAUCUGAAAAAAAAUACAACUACAAACUUGUUCAUUAAAGAAAUCAUGGAUCAUCAUGUAAGGGUUAUGCUCGAGUAGCUAAUUCCUCUUUUAGAAGGUCUUGAGUAAAAAUAAAGAAAAUUCCGCAAAACAAAAAAACGGGUUAAAACCGAUGGGUUGCCUCCCAUCCAGUGCUUCUUUAAGGUCCUAAGCCUGACCUUUCAAUUUUUGUGUUAGAGUGGCAUAUAUGACAAGAAAAACACAUCAUCCUUCUUCUUCCUUUUGUUUGGUAGGAAUUCCACCACUCUCAAGAAUUAAAGGUUUUUCUUCCAUAUUCUCUUCAGUUUGAUAGUAUCGAACAAGGCAUAAAUCUCAUUCAAUACUUCAUCUAUUUCUCCUCUUUUAUCAGUCUUGUUGCUAGGUGUAUGACUAUUCUUUUGUUGAAGAUCUUGUAGUUGGACAUCUACAUCUAAACUGAUUAUUGAAAUUGAAGCUUCAUCAAAAACCAUAUAAUUUUCAUAUUGCAUUCUUGUUCUUUUCCCACAUAUAAUUUUCACAUCCGCUUCUUCUAUUCUUGCUUCUAUUUCUUUAUUAGAUAAUAUGCACUUUCCUUCUUAUUUCUCUUUUUCAAUUCCUCAUUCAUUGACGACCUCACAUUCCUGUUUGAAUUCUCUUUCAUAUUCCUUAUCUCUGGGACUAUCUAAAAUUUUCCCAUCGAACUCCCCAUUAGAGCUCAGUUUUAAUGCUAAUUGGCUAGAUACUAGACCAAGUUUCAUAACUAAGUUCUCGAAGGAUGCUUCCACAUCCCUUUGCAAGGGUUCUUGCAACCUGUUGAUUUUCCGGAAAUUAGUUUGAUGACUUCUGAUUUUCUCAAAAUUAAGUUGAGUCAUCUUUAUAAACUGAGUCAAGGUUUCUUCAAGCUGAGAUGAUGAAUCCUCCUCCCACGAAUGAUCAGUGUAAGGAUAUGGCUCUGAAUAAUUUGUCGCAUUUUGUUGAAUUAAAGUUUUCGCUGCAAGUUUCUUUGAAUAAGCUUCAAACUUUGCCAAGGUAGCAUAAAUGUCCUCUUGCAUGAUUGUCUUGACCUUGCAUACAAAACAAAAAGAAGAAUACCUUAGUAACAAAAAUAAAACUAAAAAGAGAAAAAAUUAGAAAGAAAAAAAAACUAAUUACAAAGAAGUAUUUACAAUUGAAACCAAAAAUAAAAGUAAAAAAACAAAAUUAAACGUUGCACAAGCGCCGCCUUGUUAAAAUCAUCAAUAAUCCCCAAUAACGAUGCUAAAAAUUGAUGACUUCUCGGCAAGUGUGCCAAUAAUGUCGCAGUAAUAAAAAAGAUCGAAUCCACAUGGACUUCUAUUUAACAAGACAAUAUUAUGCAAUGCGUAGAAAAUACUAAAUUAUGGGGGGGUUUUGAGUUGCAAUGUGAAAAGUAAAUAAGAGUUUUAAACAUAAUUACGAAAACAGUCAGG
RNAcentral lists this long non-coding RNA (3520 nucleotides) under Lathyrus oleraceus (garden pea). RNAcentral's name for it is "Pisum sativum (pea) long non-coding RNA (PSAT_LNC003320)". Lineage: Eukaryota; Viridiplantae; Streptophyta; Magnoliopsida; Fabales; Fabaceae. The record is from RNAcentral.